RNAcentral lists this ribosomal RNA (254 nucleotides) under uncultured bacterium. RNAcentral describes it as "partial 16S ribosomal RNA". It matches the Rfam family "Bacterial small subunit ribosomal RNA", at positions 524 to 776 of the family's 1533-position model. The record is from RNAcentral.
UACGUAGGGGGCGAGCGUUGUCCGGAUUUAUUGGGCGUACAGAGCUCGUAGGCGGCUUGGCAAGUCGGGUGUGAAACCUCCAGGCUCAACCUGGAGACGCCACUCGAUACUGCCAUGGCUAGAGUCCGGUAGGGGACCACGGAAUUCCUGGUGUAGCGGUGAAAUGCGCAGAUAUCAGGAGGAACACCGGUGGCGAAGGCGGUGGUCUGGGCCGGCACUGACGCUGAGGAGCGAAAGCGUGGGUAGCAAACAGG